Molecule: ribosomal RNA, 485 nt
Filed under: uncultured bacterium
Lineage: Bacteria
Description: partial 16S ribosomal RNA
Rfam family: Bacterial small subunit ribosomal RNA
Source: RNAcentral
GACGAACGCUGGCGGCGUGCUUCAUACAUGCAAGUCGAGCGGGGUCCAUCCAGUGGCAACACUGGUGAAGACCUAGCGGCGAACGGGUGAGUAACACGUGAGGAACCUGCCCCUGAGACCGGGAUAACCCUCCGAAAGGAGAGCUAAUACCGGAUGCCCCCACCGGAUCGCAUGGUCUGGUGAGGAAAUGGAUUCCGCUCUGGGAGGGCCUCGCGGCCUAUCAGCUUGUUGGUGAGGUAACGGCUCACCAAGGCGUCGACGGGUAGCUGGUCUGAGAGGACGGUCAGCCACACUGGGACUGAGACACGGCCCAGACUCCUACGGGAGGCAGCAGUAGGGAAUCUUGCGCAAUGGGCGAAAGCCUGACGCAGCAACGCCGCGUGGGGGAUGAAGGCUCUCGGGUUGUAAACCCCUUCCAGCAGGGACGACUAUGACGGUACCUGCAGAAGAAGGACCGGCCAACUACGUGCCAGCCGCCGCAGUAA